This 499-nucleotide ribosomal RNA is filed under the name uncultured bacterium. Its description in RNAcentral is "partial 16S ribosomal RNA". It matches the Rfam family "Bacterial small subunit ribosomal RNA", at positions 28 to 507 of the family's 1533-position model. The record is from RNAcentral.
GAUGAACGCUGGCGGCGUGCCUAAUACAUGCAAGUCGAGCGAACAGACGAGAGUGCUUGCACUCUCUGACGUUAGCGGCGGACGGGUGAGUAACACGUGGGUAACCUACCUAUAAGACUGGGAAAACUUCGGGAAACCGGAGCUAAUACCGGAUAAUAUUUAGCUUCGCAUGAAGCAAUAGUGAAAGACGGUUCUGCUGUCACUUAUAGAUGGACCCGCGGUGUAUUAGCUAGUUGGUGAGGUAACGGCUCACCAAGGCAACGAUACAUAGCCGACCUGAGAGGGUGAUCGGCCACACUGGGACUGAGACACGGCCCAGACUCCUACGGGAGGCAGCAGUAGGGAAUCUUCCGCAAUGGACGAAAGUCUGACGGAGCAAUGCCGCGUGAGUGAAGAAGGUUUUCGGAUCGUAAAACUCUGUUGUAAGGGAAGAACAAGUACGUUAGUAACUGAACGUACCUUGACGGUACCUUACCAGAAAGCCACGGCUAACUACGUG